RNAcentral lists this long non-coding RNA (37242 nucleotides) under Theobroma cacao (cacao). RNAcentral's name for it is "long non-coding RNA (TCAC_LNC000630)". The record is from RNAcentral. Lineage: Eukaryota; Viridiplantae; Streptophyta; Magnoliopsida; Malvales; Malvaceae.
UUUAUUUCGGAGCAUAUGAUACAAUCAAGUAACUUAAGUACAAAGAUGAUUAAGCUUGGCAAACAAGGAUAUGUCAUGUUUCUCAAUCCGAGAGAUAAGAAGCACAGAGCCAAAGGCCCUGCAAAAAGGCAGGGGAGAACUGAAUUGUUGUUUCCUAAAACUUUGCAUUAAGAUCAACAUGACUUUCUAGUCAUUAAAUAUUCUGCUAGAUUUCGAACUUGCAAAUAUGGUCUGUUUUAAUGAAAUUGCAGAAUGUUGUCUCACGUCUCAAGAACUUUGAUUUCACUUCUUUUUCAAGGAAAAAAAAAUGGUUUCACUUAGUUUGCAGAAGUGUCCUGAACUCAAUUUUCAGACAAAAGUAUGGUUCAAGACUCCUUGGUGAGUGAAAGUAAUUCUUCAUCAUAUUUAUUCCUUUAUUUUUCUUUUUGGAUAUCAUUGUAUUUAUUCUUGUGCAAGGACAAGUACAUGCAUACUCAAACCUUGCAAUUGCCCAGCAUACAGAACUGAGCCAACAGAUGAAACCCGUGGUCAAAUAGGCAAGAAAGACUAAGUCUGACAUCUGGGAAAUGCGCGGACAUGAAGGCCCCCAUCUACAUGAAGAGUGAUCAUCGUCCUGUAGGUGACAGAUUUAUUCUCAUCACUCAGUUUGAACACAAAGUAGUGCACAAGAACAGCCGAGAAGAUCUUCAUCUGCCUAUAAGCAAAUUCCUUGCCUAAACAAAUUCGAGGCCCUGCCUGUAAACCAUUAGAAAAUAAAGUUCAGUAUGUUCACAUCUUUAGCCGGUGAAAUCACACUUGUGAAACAAUAUGAGAAGUUUGAACUUUCGGAAAAAGACCCAGAACCAGAAAUCAAAUGCCGUUAUACUGAUUUUUUACCCUUUUUUCCUAUUUGAGGUUUUAUUUUACACCAAGUGCCAAUCAGAAUAAUAAUGCUUUGGCCGAUCUGGAAACGAAGCGUACAAGAAUUUCUAAUUUGUAGUAUGUUCUGCACACCUGGAAUGCUGUAAACUUAAAAGGGCUUUCUGGUUGGAACAUCCCAUCCUCAUCAAGCCAUCUCUCUGGUCUGAACUCCUCUGCAUCAUCACCCCAUAUGAAUUUCAUUCUGCCCAUUGCAUAAGGUUGAUAACAAACCAUAUCUCCUUUCCUCACACUGAACCCAUCUGGAAGAGUAUCAUCAGAAAAGCAUAUCUUUGGAUCCUGCAAUCAAAGUGAAGAGGUAGUGAGAACCAAAGAAAACCCCAGAACAUAGAAAGGAAGCUAAUUUCUAGCCUUCCCGAUACGCCUUGAAUGGAUAUCAGUUUAUAGAUGCAUGUUCUUUGAUGUGCAUUAACAAGUUCAGUUGGAGGAUUCAAGAUUCAAGGCAACUUUGCUUACAACUGGAACAGCGGGGUAGAGCCUUAAUGUUUCAGUUAAGGCUGCAUGGAGAUAGUGCAUUUUUCCUAGAGCUUCUUCGCUCAAGAUAGCAGCAAAUUCAGCAAAAUCUUUAACCUCCAUCGUGUCAGUUGCUUCCUUCACUUCUUGUGCAACCUUUUCUUGAACAUCAGGAUGCUUGCAGAGCAUGUAAAUAAACCACGACAGAGUAGCUGCUGUUGUGUCUUUCCCAGCAAUUAUGAAGUUAAGGAUUAUAUCUCGCACGUAUGUUGGGUCAGUGUCAUUCAAUUGCAGAAAUCUGGAUAAAAUGUCUUCCUUUUUCAUCUGCACAAUCCGUAGAAUACAAUUAUUUCAAAAUUCUACAUAGAAACCGUUAAUUAUAAGUAGCUCUAUUCUUCUAGUUCACUCACAGAAGAAUCGUUCGAGUUACGCAUCUGCUCAAUCUUGUUGUGGAUCAGCUUAUACACAAAAUUAUCAACCACUUUUGUACUUUUCUUUAGUUUUGCUUCUGAUCCAAUAUUUAAAAAUCUCUUGAUCUUCCAGAAGAUAUCAACAUAUCGGAAGAGGAUUGCUGCGCUUGAAUCAUCAAAAGCAGCUGUAAACUCUUUGCCUUCUAAAUUUGAUCCACACACGCUGUCUAGUUCAACUCCAAAUCCAACUUUGAAUAUCGAAUCUAAAGUCGAUUUCAUAAACAAGUCCUGCACAACAUUUCGCUAUAACAGGUUCAUAUUAUAUAUCACUCCGUCAUGGAUCUUGCCAUUAGGUGAACUUACCUGAAUAUCCAUUAUCUUGUUGGACUUCGCUGCGUCAGACACUAUAUUUGCAAGCUUUGCUGCAUUUUUCCGAAAGACUACAGUGCUGAAAUCCCUCAACACCUUCGUUGAGAAUUCAUAGCUUGACACUUUCCUCUGUUGACGCCACUUAUCACCAUCGACUGCGAAAAUCCCAUCACCUAGUAAACCCUUUAGCAAGCUGUAAUUGUACUCACCCUGCACAGAAAAUUAGACAAAUUGAAAAACCAAAACGACCCCACCAUUCUGCCGUAGCCAUAUAAUUAUCAAAAACUCUUUCGUUAUAGCAAAUAACCCUGCAGCACAUUAGCAUUUGUAGUUGACUUAAUUGUGACUAUAGAUUGAGACACUCUUUCAUAUUCUAAUUCUGGGUGUUACUGUCUAAGCUACUUCUUCCAACCAAUGACAGGGGGAGUUCAAAAUUUUCUAGACCAACAAAUUACCUUGCCAUAAUUCUGGAAAUUUGUUUUGAGAAUAUAUUCAACGUUGUCUGGUUCCGAGGUAUAAACCUCACUCCUGAAAGGGCUAAGCAGCCUGUAGUUCCUGUACUUCCCAGCAAGAUCAGUCAUAUAGUGAUGCACUCUUUUGAAGUUGAGGAGCUGGUUAAAAAGUGUUCCGCCAACAGGAUGGUACUUGGUCUUGUUUUUUUUCUGCUUUUCUCUUAGUUUUGCUGCGAGGAACUUGACAGUGAAAAGGAUCAGGAUUAGAUUUAGAAACAAAGCGACCAAUGUAGCUGGGUUAGACAGAUCCAUGGAGAUGGAGGUCCUUUUUGGGUAAGCUGGUCGAUCAAUGUUAGCGGGUGAAGACUGAAGAAAACUAGAGGUCUUUUUAUAAUACUAAUAAUAUCAACGGGGAGAAAUCCUUUUGCUAAGUCAUUUCUCUUAACCAGACGUGUGACUAUAUUCGGACAAUCCGCAAACGUGUUUCUCUUAAAUUUUACGUGCACAUUGCUGAGAGUCCAACCAUGAGAGAGAUAUGCACCGACUUUCCUUCGUUGUCUCCUUUUUCGUUUUUAAAUUGUUAUAAGUUAUUAACUAAUUUCACCACAACCAAUUAACAAAACAAAGGGCAGGACUAGGUUUUUUUUUACUCAGUCAAUAUAACUAUUUAGAGAAAAUUGUGAAAAAUAACUCAUAAGGUGAUUUCAAAAAUAAUUAUCCAUAUAAUGUUAUCUGUUUUUACCAAAAAACAAACAUGAGUAAACCAAAAUGCUCUCAGAAACAUCCUGGCAAAUCAAUCUCCUAAUAUCUCUCUCGCUGUAAAGAAAAUAAAUACUCAGUUAUUUCAGCUCGCUCAACUCUUUCAGCUCUCUAAAUUAUAUCAGCUUUGUCAACUCUCUGUUAAGUACCAUCGUCAUCAACUCUCUUAGCUAUUUGAACUGUAUCAUCUAUAUGUACUUAUUAAAGAUAUAAAUUAAAGAAUAUAAAAGAAAACGAAGUAAAUGAAUAAUUGAAAAGACAAGUCGAGCCACUAAUUACUACAAUGAUCACUGUCUGAUCACGACAGCUAAAGCCACUGCAAUUGCUCGGCCAAUAAAGUUGACAAACUUUGUUGAAAUAGGACUUGCAUUGAAAAUCACGUCAGUUCAUACUAUCUUAGGAUCAUAUGUGACCAUUUUGUAUAAGCUAGCUUUCUUUCAAAUUAUGAUAACUAUGCAUUUAAUGAAUGAUUUAUAUGAUGAUUAGUAUGCAUUCUUAGGCCUAGCUACUGUUCAAAACUUAGUUGUUAAGUUUUGUUAUGUAUAUAAACUAAGUCAAUGCAUAUCAGAAAUAUGAAACCUACUGUUACAACAAAAACUGUCUUUACUUGCUCUGUUUCAUACUUAUCCUACAUCAACUAAAACACAACAAAACUUACUAAAUAAAGCAAUCUAUAUACCAACAAUGUCUUGGAAUUUAGCAAGUUUUAGUUUGUCCUCUUGGAAUGACAUAGAGGUCGAGGCCAUGCUGGAGGGUGAAGCCACAACAUGGUCCUAUCGUCUGCCAAGUUGAAGCGAAAGUAGUGAAUAAGGGAACUUUGUUGAGAUUUUCUUUAUCUGCUCAGAAGAAAUUAAGAAAAAAUUAUAUGGUGUAGAUACUUGAUUUUGAUUUUGAUUGUUAACAUAUUUCUUCAAUAUAAAGUAAAAUUAAUUUAUAAAACGUUGUAUUACUAUGUAAGAAGUAGUGUAGAUAAUUUAUAAUAAGUAGAAAAAUCACGUCAUUGUAUAAACUAGUGAAAAUAUCUUCGAAAUAAAUGAUGAGAUUUUUAAAUUAAUUUUUUUAAAAUGUUUUGAAGAGUUUGAUUUGAUAACUUAAAUACAUAAAUGAAAAUUUUCUAAAUACGUAUGCAUAAAAUCCACUAUCACCAUCAAUGACCUAAACAUUCAUAAGGCUUUAAUGCCUCAACAGUUGACAUUUUCUCAUUGGUAUGAAUAAAUUUCAUUAAUUACAAGAUUACUCAAUUCCAUAACCCUUCAAGAUAUUUUCUCAUUGAUUGUGUUCGAUUUGAUAAGGAUGUUAAUUUUUUUUUUUGAAUUACAAAUAUUUUUCAUUUUUUUAAAUAAUUAAGUGACGCACUUCUAAUGCCUCAGUAGCUGACAUUAAUUAUCCAUUGGUUGCAUUCACUUUGAUUCGGAGCUAAUUAACAACCGAAAAGUUGGCCGAUGUUUGCCGACUUGGAUUUAAUGGUCAUAUGAGUUGGUGUAACAAUGUGAUACCAAAAAGGUAGUAAUCAAUACAAAUUUUGAGUAGGAAGAGUACUGCAUUCAAAUGAAAUCAAGAAGAAGAUUGUGGAGAAAACUCUCAUUUAAUGGAAGAACAUGACUGCCAAAUACGAGUACCUAAACAUGGUUUGGCAAUUGCCAUCAUCCUAUGCAUCCCUAGGUUACUUAACUGAUUGAUGUAAUUCAUUGAAUAAAAUGGUUAGUUGUUAUUAUCAUGUCAUGUCAUCGUCAUGAUAUUUCUUCCUCUUUUGUGAGUAAUGAGAUUUUUGAAGGAUGGAGAUGACUCUACCUAAAUUCUUAGAUUUUUUUGUUGCUUAUUUUCAUUGUAUUUUGAGUUUUUGACUGUGUCUAACUGUUUAUCUUUUGCAAAGCCAUUUUUUCACCUUAAUUUCAACCCAGCAUCUGUGUGUUGUCCGAUGGGUUAGAAAAUGGGCAAGUUUGAUUGGUGGUUGAUUCCUUUUCUUCAGCAUUUUGGUAACUUGGGCCUAUAAAAUUUAUUUAUAGUAGACAAAAAAAAACUUUUAUUAAAAAAUAUUAUAGUAAAUAUUUGUUUCUUUUCGGAUAAUUGACUUUUAUUUAGCUAAGGAAUAUUUUAUUUGAAAUAUGUCCCAUAUAUACCACUGAAAAUCCAAGGCUUUUUAUGGUUAUUCAUUCUUAAUGGCAUUUCUACUAAAUGCUUUCUAAGAAUCAGAACGCAUGGUGUAUGUCCUACAAUACAAAUGGUGAUAACCUUUGUUUUUGGUGUUACAGCCAUGGAGGAAAAGAGUGAUGAUAUUUUAUUUUCUUGUCACUUCAUACGGUCCAUGGAGGAAAUGUGGAUAGAUCGAAGAUAAGUAAAUCAAGAUUCACAGACUGUGAAAGCGUAUUAAAAGAUGAGAACUUUUUGACUUGGAUUUUUUUUAAUAAAAGUUCUUUGCUUGGAUUUUUUUUUAGUAAAAAUUCUUUGCUUGGAUUUAAGAGAUGAGAUUCAAAGAACUUUUAAGAGAUGCAGCAAACAACCUCAAAAUCCAAGCUCUUUGCUUGUAAGCUUCCUAGCCACUUGUAAACAGAAAAUACGGCUUCUAUGGAGUCCCAAUCUCGGGAAAUGGUCAGGGCAUAUAGACCAGAUGACUCGAAUUGUACAUAUAUUUUUUUCUUUUUUGGUGAAAUAACUCAAAUUCCAUUGAUCAACACAUUUACAGAAAAAAGCAAAUCAACACUAUAGAAAAAUGCAAAUCGGGGCUCUUAUGUACAACCAGCAAGGUUGAAGACUUGAAGUUGAACAAAUUGAUGACUUUGCACAGGAGGAUAUUUGGAAAUUCAUCAACUUGUCCUUGGAACAGCAUAAAGAUGGAGGCCCCCCUUCAUAUGAAGUGUGAACAUUGUCCUGUAAGUUGCAAUUUUCGUAUAAUCAACUAAUUUAAAGCGGAAGAAGCGAAGAAGGGCAAUUGAGACUAUCUUCAUCUACCGGUGAGCAAAAUCCUUGCCUAAGCAAGUUCGAGGACCCGCCUGAAACAUAAUGCAGCAGCUGGAAAAGAUUAAGAUCGUUUGACAACUAUAUAGGCACAUGCAUGUUAUACACAUGGUAGAAAUGGAACAAAGAAUACUAACAUGAAAUGCUAUGAAUUUGAAAGGGGAUUCGGACUGGAAAACUCCAUUGUUAAGCCAUCUUUCUGGUCGAAAAGUGUCGGCAUCUUCUCCCCAAAUGUCAGGCAUUCUACGCAUGGCGUAGGCCAUGUAAUACACCCCGUCUCCUUUCUUGAGUUUGUAGCCAUCGGGGAGAAUGUCAUCCUGCUCUGCAUUCCUUCCAUCCUUGAAGCACAAAGUGAGAACCAUAUCAUAUUCCAGCUGUCGAAAUGCUAAGACUGCAAGAAAAUCUAUGAGUGUCUCAGGCACCUUACAAUGGCGACAGCAGGGUACAGCCUUAAGGUCUCUGUUAUGGCUGCAUGAAGAUAGUGCAUUUGCUCUAGGGUUGAAUCAGUUAUGGUUGUCACGAAAUCAUCAACAUUAUUAGCACCAUUUCUUUUACUACUAGUGACGUCCACCACUUCUUGUGCAAGUUUUUCUUGUAUCAAAGGGUUCUUGCAGAGCAUGUAGAAGAACCAGGACAGAGUAUUCGCAGAAGAAUCUUUGCCAGCGAGUACGAAGUUCAGGAUUAUAUCCCUUAAAUAUUUGUCAUUCAUUGUGUCUGGAUUCUUCUCGCUUUCCACUAAAAAUCUUGAAAGUAUGUCUUCUUUCACAUUCUUGAAGCCAUAAAAAGAAAUAAGAAAAAACAAACCAAUUAUUAGUAAAGUAUAAAUUUCCACGCCAAAAACCAGAUUACCUUAAGCAGUGAGAUUGAAUUCAACAGUGUUCUUGUGACUCUCAAGUCCCACCAUAUUUGUUAGACCAAGAUUGACUAUAAGAAAUUCUUGCAGCAAAAUAUAUAUGGCUCACCAAAUCUCGUUCCAUGCCCAGCAGUUUCCUCUUGGAGCUAAUGACAUCGUGAACAAAGUAUCAACGACUUUGAUAUUCUUUCUGAGGGCAGCUUCAGAGCCAAUGUUAAGAGACCGUUUCAGCUUCCAGAAAGGGUCAACAAAGCGCCUCUCAUUUGAAUCAUCAAAAGCCUUCAUAAAAGUAGUCCCUUCCUUACUUGACCCAUCCAUGCAGUUUAAAUCUAUGCCAAACCCAACUUUGAAUAUGGAAUCUAGAGUGCAUGUCAUUAAUAGAUUCUACAAAUUAAAGUAAACACAGCAUGAAAAACUGAAAAAGGGAAAAUUAGACAAGCAUAAUUGUGAGCAUCUUUAAAGUUUUGGGUUAAUUUGAGGGUCAGAUUUCUCACUUGCAUGUCAAAAGCUUGACCCGACACUUCCAGCUUCGAAAUAACUCCAACCAGUUUGGCAGCGUUCCUUCUGAAAACAGAGCAGCUAAAAUAUUUAAGAACUCUCGUCGAGAACUCGAAGCUUGCCAGCUUCCGCUGCUUCCGCCACUUGUCUCCGUCCACCGCAAAGAUCCCUUGUCCAAAAAGAUCUAUCAGAAUUUCUUGGUUUUGUUUACCCUUACAGUAUCUGUCGAACUUUGUUUUCAAUAUGUACUCUACAUUUCGCGUAUCGACGGUGUAUACUACGCUUAGCCCUAAAGCGAGUUGCCUGUAAGUGGGCUGUUUUUUGGCCGCUUGGGUUUGGUAGUCGUAGAGAUAGUUGAAAUAAAACAACUGGUUGAAAACGCUGCCCUUCACCGGUGGGUUGUCAGGAUUUCCGAUGGAUUUUCCGGUGAAGAUUUUGAUUGUGAGAAAAGAGAAGAUCAGGAAGAGAAUGAGUGGUGGUAAUGACAUCAACAAGAAGAUGGUAGAGAGAAUAUCCAUUUUUCCUUUUUCUAAUGAAUACUCGGAAAGGUUAUAGGCCAUAUAUGCAGAUUCUUGCAUUGGGUUGCAUUCAUUUUUCAACCUACCAACAAAAUCAAACCGUUUUCAUCACCAAUAUCUUUCUCAACAACAAAAUCAUUUGUUUAAUAAUUAUAAUGUUUACACGUGUACGAUUGCCAUUUCAUCAAUUUGAUUUUUCUUGUAAAUUAAGUUGAUGCCACCAUAUCUCAUACUUCAAAAAUUUUAGAGGAUUGUACGGAUAAUCAUAAAUUUAUAAUCAUAAUUAUAAUCUAUUUAACUUCUAAAGUGAAUUAACAUAUAUAACUUUAAUCAAGUAAGCAUGAAAAAAGUGUAUCAUUUAAGUUUGGGUCUUGUUUACGAAUAUUCUAAGAGUUUUUUUAUCGUUAAUUAAAAUAUUAUAAUAAUAUUUUUCUUUUAAAUGUCGUAAUUGACUGGUAGUGCGAUGAUUUUCAAUAUAUCUAAAAUGAUAUUACUCAAUAUAAUAACUUUAAAUAAUAUCAUUAUAACAAUAGUUAGUAAAAGUCAUAAUAUUCAAAAAAGCUUUUAAAUUAUUCAAAAAAUUUAAAAUAAAUCUUACUUUUAUUAUAUUCAAUUAUAUUUUUAUAUUUUUAUUUUAGAUCAAAUAAAUCUUUUAUUUUUAUUUUGAAUCAAAUAAAUCUUUAUAAAUAAUAAUUGACUUAGUUAAAAUGUUAUUUGUCAUUAUAUAUUACGUGACGCUGAUGUAGUAUACUAACAUAUCAUAAUUAAUGAUGAUGUGAUAUGUUGAUUUAUCAUAUUUGAUAAUGAUAUGACAUGCUAGUUUAACCUAAUAACAUGAUGACAUUUUUCAAUCUCUACAUUAAUAUCAUAUUAGUGCCACGUGGAUAUAAAAUGAUAAAAUAUAUUUUGACUAAUGAAAAUUAGUCAAUUAUUAUUAAUAAAAGCUUAUUUGAUCUAAAAUAAAAAUAUAGAGACUUGAUUAAGCGUAACAAAAGAAUAAAAAUUUAUUCGAAUUUUGUUAAAUAGUUUCAGAGCUUAUUUGAGAAAUAUGUGUUAGUAAAACCAUUUAUAUUUAAAUUUUUAUUUUAUUUUUUGAAAAGUAAUUUGUCAUAAACGGAAUAAUGACAUGGCUAUAGAUUAAGCUAGGCUAUAAACUUAUUUCAGCCUUAAAUGAUUAACAAUGAAUAAGGUGCGUCCCCUCUCAAGAAACCCCUAUACAAUAGUUAGGAUAAACCCUUAAAGGAUGGACCUCAGGACCGGGGGCAGCUCAAGUACCUCUUGUGACGACAUGAUAUUCAUUGAAGACUAUUUGGACUUCAAGCGUGUUCAUCCAUUGACAUUGGCAAUUAGUUUCUGCUGGCAUGAACCGUAUGGCGACCACUUGUAUGAUUGUGAUAUAUCAUGCUGUUGAGUGCGAGCUCAACUUUGUUGAAGUACAUUGGUGUCCUUGGUUUUGUUGAAUUCUGACAAUAGACAUCCCAUACCCAAUUCAUAGCAUACAUAUGGCUUUUAUCUUUGUUUAAAUUGAAUUAAGAACAUCCGGAUUCAUUUCAUACUCAUAAGAUCUUAAGAUGAUCAAGAUUUGCACUUAACGGAAGCAAAACUGGCCUGAACUCAAUAUUCAGACAAAAGUAUGGUUCUAGACUCUUUGGUCAGUGAAAGCAACCAUCCAUCAUAUCGAUUCCUUUCGUCCUUUUUGCUUGGUGACAUCAUCCGAUUUACUCAUGUGCAAGGAAAGAUACAAGUAUAUUAACAGUGUGCAUUUGCCUAGUAUAAAGAACUGAGCCACCAGAUGAAACCCUUGGUCAAAUAAGCUAGAAAGACCAAAGUUAAGUCUGACAUCUGUGAAGUGCGCGGACAUGAAGGCCCCCAUCUACAUGAAGAUUGAUCAUCGUCCUGUAGGUGACACAUUUAUUCUCAUCACUCAGUUUGAACGCAAAGCAGUGCACCAGAACAGCUGAGAAGAUCUUCAUCUGCCUAUAAGCAAAUUCCUUGCCUAAACAAAUUCGAGGCCCUGCCUGUAAACCAUUAGAAAAUAAAGUUCAGUAUCUUCACAUCUUUAGCCGGUAAAAUCACACUUGUGAAACAAUAUGAGAGGUUUGAACUUUCAGAAAAAGACUCAGAACCAGAAUCAAAUGCUGUUAUGCUGCUUUUUUACCAUUUUUUUUCUAUUUGAGGUCUUUUUUUACACCAAGUGCCAAUCAGAAUAAAAAUGCUUUGCCCGAUCUGCAAAAGAAGCAUACAACAAUUUCUAAUUUGCAACAUGUUCUGCAUACCUGGAAUGCUGUAAACUUAAAAGGGCUUUCUGGUUGGAACAUCCCCUCCUCAUCAAGGCAUCUCUCUGGUCUGAACUCCUCUGCAUCAUCACCCCAAAUGAAUUUCAUUCUGCCCAUUGCAUAAGGUUCAUAACAAACCAUAUCUCCUUUCCUCACACUGAACCCAUCUGGAAGAGUUUCAUCAGACAAGCAUAUCUUUGCAUCCUGCAAUCAAAGUGAAGAGGUAGUGAGAACCAAAGAAAACCCCAGAACAUAGCAAGGAAGCUAAUUUCUAGCCUUCCCGAUAUGCAUUGAAUGGAUAUCAGUUUAUCGAUGCAUGUUCUUUGAUGUGCAUUAACAAGUUCAGUUGGAGGAUUCAAGAUUCAAGGCAACUUUGCUUACAACUGGAACAGCGGGGUAGAGCCUUAAUGUUUCAGUUAAGGCUGCAUGGAGAUAGUGCAUUUUUCCUAGGGCUUCUUCGCUCAAGAUAGCAGCAAAUUCAGCAAAAUCUUUAACCUCCUUCGUGUCAGUUGCUUCCUUCACUUCUUGUGCAACCUUUUCUUGAACAUCAGGAUGCUUGCAGAGCAUGUAAAUAAACCACGACAGAGUAGCUGUCGUUGUGUCUUUCCCAGCAAUUAUGAAGUUAAGGAUUAUAUCUCGCAAGUAUGUUGGAUCAGUGUCACUCACUUGUAGAAAUCUGGAUAAAAUGUCUUCCUUUUUCAUCUGCAUAAUCUGUAGAAAAUAAUAAUUUCAAUAUUCUACUUCAACAGGUAAUAUAAGCUGUUAACUAUAAGUAGCUCUACUGUUCUAGUUCACUCACUGAAGCUUCAUCCUUUGAGUUGCGUAUUGGCUCAAUCUUGUUGUGGAUCAGCUUAUACACAAAAUUAUCAACCACUUCUAUACUUUUCUUCAGUGUGGCCUCUGAUCCAAUAUUUAGAAAUCUUUUGAUCUUCUAGAAGAUAUCAACAUAUCGGAAGAGGAUUGCUGCACUUGAAUCAUCAAAAGCAGCUGUAAACUGUUUGCCUUCUAAAUUUGAUCCACACAUGCUGUCUAGUUCGACUCCAAAUGCAACUUUGAAUAGUGAAUCUAAAGUCGAUUUCAUAAACAAGUCCUGCACAAUAUAUCGUUAUAACAGAUCCAUUUUAUAUAUCACUCUGCAUUGAUCUUGCCAUUAGGUGAACUUACCUGUAUAUCCAUUAUCUCAUUGGAAUUUGCUGCUUCAGACACUAUAGUUGCAAGUUUUGCCGCAUUUUCCCGAAAGACUACACUGCUGAAAUCUCUCAAGACCUUGGUUGAGAAUUCAUAGCUUGAUACUUUCCUCUGUUGACGCCACUUAUCACCAUCGACAGUGAAAAUCCCAUCACCUAGUAAACCCUUUAGCAAGCUGUAAUUGUACUCACCCUGCACAGAAAAUUAAACAGUUUGGAAAACCAAAACAACUCCACCAUUCUGCCUUUUGGGUGGCCAUAUAAUUAUCAAAAGCCCUCUCAUUCCAACUAAUCACUCUGCGGCAUAUUAGCAUCUACAAUUGACUUACUUGUGGCGAGAUUGAGACCCUUUUUCUUAAUCUAAUUACGGGUGUUUCUGUCUAAGCUACUUACACUAACCAAUCACCGGGAGAGUUCAGAAUUUUCUAGACCAACAAAUUAUUUGUGACUUUGAGGUGUGAAACGAGAGUCGGCACCAUACCUUGCCAUAUUUCUGGAAAUUUGUUUUUAGAAUAUACUCAACAUUGUCUGGUUCCGAGGUAUAAAUCUCAUUCCUGAAAGGGCUAAGCAGCCUGUAGUUCCUGUACUUCCCAGCAAGAUCAGUCAUAUAGUGAUGCAAUCUUCUGAAGUUGAGGAGCUGGUUAAAAACCGUUCCGCCAACGGGAUGGUACUUGGCCUUAUUUUUCCUCUGCCUUUCUCUUAGUUUUGCUGUGAGGAACUGGACGGUGAAAAGGGUCAGGAUUAGACUUAGAACCAAAGCUACCAAGGGAACUGGGUUAGACAGAUCCAUGAAGAUGGAGGUACGUUUGGGAAAGCUGGUCUAUCAAUGUUAGGUGAAGGCUGUAUUAAACUAGAGAAGUCGUUCUGAAAUACUAAUAAUAUCAACGGAGAGAAGUCCUUCUGCCAAGUUAUUCCUCUCAACCAAACGUGUCACAACCUAAUUGGACUACAUUCGGACAAGCCCGAAACGUGGUUCUCUCGAAUUUCACAAGGUGAAAUUUUUGAAAUUGGCAAAAAAUUACUAAUAAAUUUCACCACAACCAGAUAACAAAACAAAGGGUCAUACUUAUUUUUUCCUUAGUUAUGAUGGUAAAGGACAUACAUAUCUGUUCUAUUCGGUUAUUUUGUAGUUAAGUAAAGAGAAUGAUUUUUUAAUUUAAUUUUUAAAUAAAAAUACGUGUAUUUAUCAUGUUAAGUUUAAUAUUCAGAUGAAAAAUUAAUUAGAAUUUUAUUUCAAAGCAUAUGAUACAAUUAAGUAACUUAAGUACAAAGAUGAUUAAGCUUAGCAAACAAGGAAAUGUCAUAUUUCUCAAUCCGAGAGAUAAGAAGCACAGAGCCAAAGGCCCUGCAAAAAGGCAGGGGAGAACUGAAUUGUUGUUUCCUAAAACUUUGCAUUAAGAUCAACAUGACUUUCUAGUCAUUAAAUAUUCUGCUAGAUUUCGAACUUGCAAAUAUGGUCUGUUUUAAUGAAAUUGCAGAAUGUUGUCUCAGGUCUCAACAACUUUGAUUUCACUUCUUUUUCAAGGAAAAAAAAAUGGUUUCACUUAGUUUGCAGAAGUGUCCUGAACUCAAUUUUCAGACAAAAGUAUGGUUCGAGACUCCUUGGUGAGUGAAAGUAAUUCUUCAUCAUAUUUAUUCCUUUAUUUUUCUUUUUGGAUAUCAUUGUAUUUAUUCUUGUGCAAGGACAAGUACAUGCAUACUCAAACCUUGCAAUUGCCCAGCAUACAGAACUGAGCCAACAGAUGAAACCCGUGGUCAAAUAGGCAAGAAAGACUAAGUCUGACAUCUGGGAAAUGCGCGGACAUGAAGGCCCCCAUCUACGUGAAGAGUGAUCAUCGUCCUGUAGGUGACAGAUUUAUUCUCAUCACUCAGUUUGAACACAAAGUAGUGCACCAGAACAGCCGAGAAGAUCUUCAUCUGCCUAUAAGCAAAUUCCUUGCCGAAACAAAUUCGAGGGCCUGCCUGUAAACCAUUAGAAAAUAAAGUUCAGCAUGUUCACAUCUUUAGCCGGUGAAAUCACACUUGUGAAACAAUAUGAGAAGUUUGAACUUUCGGAAAAAGACCCAGAACCAAAAAUCAAAUGCUGUUAUACUGCUUUUUUAGCCUCUUUUUCUAUUUGAGGUUUUAUUUUACACCAAGUGCCAAUCAGAAUAAUAAUGCUUUGGCCGAUCUGGAAACGAAGCGUACAAGAACUUCUAAUUUGUAGUAUGUUCUGCACACCUGGAAUGCUGUAAACUUAAAAUGGCUUUCUGGUUGGAACAUCCCAUCCUCAUCAAGCCAUCUCUCUGGUCUGAACUCCUCUGCAUCAUCACCCCAUAUGAAUUUCAUUCUGCCCAUUGCAUAAGGUUGAUAACAAACCAUAUCUCCUUUCCUCACACUGAACCCAUCUGGAAGAGUAUCAUCAGAAAAGCAUAUCUUUGCAUCCUGCAAUCAAAGUGAAGAGGUAGUGAGAUCCAAAGAAAACCCCAGAACAUAGAAAGGAAGCUAAUUUCUAGCCUUCCCGAUACGCAUUGAAUGGAUAUCAGUUUAUAGAUGCAUGUUCUUUGAUGUGCAUUAACAAGUUCAGUUGGAGGAUUCAAGAUUCAAGGAAACUUUGCUUACAACUGGAACAGCGGGGUAGAGCCUUAAUGUUUCAGUUAAGGCUGCAUGGAGAUAGUGCAUUUUUCCUAGAGCUUCUUCGCUCAAGAUAGCAGCAAAUUCAGCAAAAUCUUUAACCUCCAUCGUGUCAGUUGCUUCCUUCACUUCUUGUGCAACCUUUUCUUGAACAUCAGGAUGCUUGCAGAGCAUGUAAAUAAACCACGACAGAGUAGCUGCUGUUGUGUCUUUCCCAGCAAUUAUGAAGUUAAGGAUUAUAUCUCGCACGUAUGUUGGGUCAGUGUCAUUCAAUUGCAGAAAUCUGGAUAAAAUGUCUUCCUUUUUCAUCUGCACAAUCCGUAGAAUACAAUUAUUUCAAAAUUCUACAUAGAAACCGUUAAUUAUAAGUAGCUCUAUUCUUCUAGUUCACUCACAGAAGAAUCGUUCGAGUUACGCGUCUGCUCAAUCUUGUUGUGGAUCAGCUUAUACACAAAAUUAUCAACCACUUUUGUACUUUUCUUUAGUUUUUGCUUCUGAUCCAAUAUUUAAAAAUCUCUUGAUCUUCCAGAAGAUAUCAACAUAUCGGAAGAGGAUUGCUGCACUUGAAUCGUCUAAAGCAGCUGUAAACUCUUUGCCUUCUAAAUUUGAUCCACACAUGCUGUCUAGUUCAACUCCAAAUCCAACCUUGAAUAUCGAAUCUAAAGUCGAUUUCAUAAACAAGUCCUACACAACAUUUCGUUAUAACAGAUUCAUUUUAUAUAUCACUCCGUCAUGAGUCUUGCCAUUAGGUGAACUUACCUGAAUAUCCAUUGUCUUGUUGGACUUCGUUGCGUCAGACACUAUAUUUGCAAGCUUUGCUGCAUUUUUCCGAAAGACUACAGUGCUGAAAUCCCUCAACACCUUUGUUGAGAAUUCAUAGCUUGACACUUUCCUCUGUUGACGCCACUUAUCACCAUCGACUGCGAAAAUCCCAUCACCUAGUAAAUCCUUUACCAAGCUGUAAUUGUACUCACCCUGCACAGAAAAUUAGACAAAUUGAAAAACCAAAACGACCCCACCAUUCUACCGUAGCCAUAUAAUUAUCAAAAACUCUUUCGUUGUAGCUAAUAACCCUGCAGGCUGCAGCACAUUAGCAUUUGUAAUUGACUUAAUUGUGACUAUAGAUUGAGACACUCUUUCAUAUUCUAAUUCUGGGUGUUACUGUCUAAGCUACUUCUUCCAACCAAUGACUGGGAGUUCAAAAUUUUCUAGACCAACAAAUUACCUUGCCAUAAUUCUGGAAAUUUGUUUUGAGAAUAUAUUCAACGUUGUCUGGUUCCGAGGUAUAAACCUCACUCCUGAAAGGGCUAAGCAGCCUGUAGGUCCUAUACUUCCCUGCAAGAUCAGUCAUAUAGUGAUGCACUCUUUUGAAGUUGAGGAGCUGGUUAAAAAGUGUUCCGCCAACAGGAUGGUACUUGGUCUUGUUUUCUUUCUGCUUUUCUCUUAGUUUUGCUGCGAGGAACUUGACAGUGAAAAGGAUCAGGAUUAGAUUUAGAAACAAAGCGACCAAUGUAGCUGGGUUAGACAGAUCCAUGGAGAUGGAGGUCCUUUCUGGGUAAGCUGGUCGAUCAAUGUUAGCGGGUGAAGACUGAAGAAAACUAGAGGUCCUUUUAUAAUACUAAUAAUAUCAACGGCGAAAAAUCCUUUUGCUAAGUCAUUUCUCCUAACCAAACGAGUGACUAUAUUCCGACAAACCGCAAACGUGUUUCUCUUGAAUUUUACAUGCACAUUGCUGAGAGUCCAACCAUGAGAGAGAUAUGCACCGACUGUCCUUCAUUUUCUCCUUUUUCUUGUUUAAAUUGGUAUAAGUUAUUAACUAAUUUCACCACAACCAAAUAACAAAACAAAGGGCAGGAUUAGUUUUUUUUUUUCUCAGUCAAUAUAACUAUUUAGAGAAAAUUGUGAAAAAUAACUCAUAAGGUGAUUUUAAAAAUAAUCAUCCAUAUAAAGUUAUCUGUUUUUACUAAAAAACAAACAUGAGUAAUACCCUCAGAAACAUCUUGACAAAUCAAUCUUCUGAUAUCUCUCCGCUGUAGAAAAAAUAAAUGCUCAAUUAUUUUAACUCGCUUAACUCUUUCAGCUCUCUAAAUUAUAUCAACUCUGUCAACUCUCUGUUAAGCAUCAUCGUCAUCAACUCUCUCAACUAUUUGAACUAUAUCAUCUAUAUGUAUUUAUUAAAGAUAUAAAUUAAAGAAUAUAAAUGAAAACAAAGUAAAUGAAUAAUUGAAAAGACAAGUCGAGCCACUUAUUACUACAACGAUCAUUGUCUGAUCAUGACAACUGAAGCCACUGCAAUUGCUCGGCCAAUAAAGUUGGCAAACUUUGUUGAAAUAGGACUUGCAUUGAAAACCAUGUAAGUUCAUACUACCUUAAGAUCAUACGUGACCAUUUUGUAUUAAGCUACCUUUCUUUCAAAUUAUAAUAACUAUGCAUUUAGUGAAUGACUUAUAUGAUGAUUAGUAUGUAUUCUUUUGCCUAGCUACUGCUCAAAACUUAGUUGUUAAGUUUUGUUUUGUAUAUAAACUAAGUCAAUGCAUAUAAGAAAUAUGAAACCUACUGUUACAACAAAAACUGUCUUUACUUGCUCUGUUUCAUACUUAUCCUACAUCAACUAAAACACAACAAAACUUACUAAAUAAAGCAAUCUAUAUACCAACAAUCUCUUCGAAUUCAGCAAGUUUUAGUUUGUCCUCUUGGAAUGACAUAAAGGUCGAGGCCAUGCUGGAGGGUGAGGCCACAACUUGGUCCUAUCGUCUGCCAAGUUGAAGCGAAAGUAGUGAAUAAAGGAACUUUGUUGAGAUUUUCUUCAUCUGCCUAGAGAAAUUAAGAAGAAAUUAGAUGGUGUAGAUACUUGAUUUUGAUUUUGAUUGUUUACAUAUUUCUUCAAUAUAAAGUAAAAUUAACUUAUAAAACAUUGUAUUACUACGUAAGAAGCAGUGUAGAUAAUUUAUAAUAAGUAGAAAAAUCACGUCAUUGUAUAAACUAGUGAAAAUAUCUUCGAACUAAUGAUGAGAUUUUUAAAUUAAUUUUUUUUAAAAUGUUUUGAAGUGUUUUAUUUGAUAACUUAAAUACAUAAAUGAAAACUUUCUAAAUACAUAUGCAUAAAGUCCACUAUCACCAUCAAUGACCUAAACAUCCACAAGGCUUUAAUGCCUCAACAGUUGACACAUUUUUUCAUUGGUUUUUUUUAGGGGUAUUUUUAAAAAUAACCCUUAAAAAUAAGAUGUUUUCAAAAAUAACUCUCUUUAUAAUUUUAACCAUUUUUAACCAAGUUGGACAAAAUUACCCUUAAUGAAAUUACACGCUAUGAUGUUACACGUUAUGUACAAAAAUAUGUUACACGUCAUGUGCAAAAACAUGUGACACGUCAUGGUUAAGUUGUUACACACCAUGUACAGAAACAUGUGACACGCUAUGUACAAAAACAUGUAACACGUCAUGAUUAGGUUGUUACACACCAUGUACAGAAACAUGUGACACGUCAUGUACAAAAACAUGUGACACGCCAUGGUUAGGUUGUUACACGUCAUGUUGAAAAAAAUACUAUUGUUACACGCCAUGUAUAAAAACAUAUUACACGUCAUGGUUAAAAAAAGUUGUUACAUGCCAUGUUGAAAAACAAAUAUUGUUGUUACACGUCAUGUACAAAAAUCUGUGACAAGCCAUAAUUAGGUUGUUACACGUCAUGUUGAAAAAAAAUACUAUUGUUACACGUCAUCUACAAAAAUAUGUUACACGCUAUGGUUAAAAAAAGUCGUUACACUCCAUGUUGAAAAAAAAAAUUAUUGUUACACGCUAUGUUGAAAAAAUAUUGUUGUUACACGACAUAUUCAAAAAUAUUUUGUUACACUUUAAUGUCUAAAAUAUUGUUGUUACUUACGAACCAAAACUUCAAAUCUUCUCAACUUUUUUCUUUUUUUGUUGUUUUUUUUGACAAUUUGGCACAGAUUAAAUUGUUUCUAACAUCUUUUCAUAAAUCAAAAUACAAAUAUUUUUUUUAUCUAAACCACCUACNGCUUAAAAUUUUGUUGUUACUUAUGAACCAAAACUUCAAAUCUUUUCAACUCUUUUCAUUUUUUUUUGUUUUUUUUGACAAUUUGGCACUGAUUAUAGUGUUUCUAACAUGUUUUCAUUAAUCAAAAUACAAAUUUUUUUAUCUAAAAUACUUAUUUCGAAUAAAAUAAAAAAAAAAUUCUUUUAAAAAUCUAGAUUUUUAAAUUUCAAAAUUUUGAGUUUUUUAGUGUCUAGGUCCCUAAUUGAUUCAAUUAAAAGUUAUUUCAUACAUCUGUGAUUAUUUCUACCACCCACCCAAGCACGUCAAAAACAUUGCUUGGUGUCUUGAAAGCACAAUAAAAAAAAUCUAAAAAUACAAUAGAGAGAAAUCAGAAGCAUAGCAAACGAAUGCCAAAAAGAGAAAUCGAUAAAAUUAAAGAGAAUGGGAUAGUGAGAGAGAGAAAUCAGAAACAAAAAUUGGGAGAAAUUGUGAUGAAUGGUUUAAUUUAUUUGAAAUAGUUUAAAAGUUAUUUUUAUCAAAUCAUGACUAAAUAUAAUUAAAAACAGUUAAAUUUAUUUUGAUUGUUACUUUUAAAAUGUCUUUAUCAAAAAAGGUCAUUUCUCACAAUUUCCUUUUUUUUAUAAGCCAUGAAUAAAUUUCAUUAAUUACAAGAUUACUCAAUUCCAUAACCCUUCAAGAUAUUUUCUCAUUGAUUGUGUUCGAUUUGAUAUGGAUGUUAAUUUUCUUUUUGAAUUACAAAUAUUUUUCAUUUUUUUAAAUAAUUAAGUGACGCACUUCUAAUGCCUCAGUAGCUGACAUUAAUUAUCCAUUGGUUGCAUUCACUUUGAUUCGGAGCUAAUUAACAACCGAAAAGUUGGCCGAUGUUUGCCGACCUGGAUUUAAUGGUCAUAUGAGUUGGUGUAACAAUGUGAUACCAAAAAGGUAGUAAUCAAUACAAAUUUUGAGUAGGAAGAGUACUGCAUGCAAAUGAAAUCAAGAAGAAGAUUGUGGAGAAAACUCUCAUUUAAUGGAAGAACAUGACUGCCAAAUACGAGUACCUAUACAUGGUUUUGCAAUUGCCAUCAUCCUAUGCAUCCCUAGGUUACUUAACUGAUUGAUGUAAUUCAUUGAAUAAAAUGGUUAGUUGUUCUUAUCAUGUCAUGUCAUCGUCAUGAUAUUUCUUCCUCUUUUGUGAGUAAUGAGAUUUUUGAAGGAUGGAGAUGACUCUACCUAAAUUCCUAGAUUUUUUUUGUUGCUUAUUUUCAUUGUAUUUUGAGUUCUUGACUGUCUAUAACUGUUUAUCUUUUGCAAAGCCAUUUUUUUACCUUAAUUUCAACCCAGCAUCUGUGUGUUGUCUGAUGGGUUAGAAAAUGGGCAAGUUUGAUUGGUGGUUGAUUCCUUUUCUUCAGCAUUUUGGUAACUUGGGCCUAUAAAAUUUAUUUAUAGUAGACAAAAAAAAAGAACUUUUAUUAAAAAAUAUUAUAGUAAAUAUUUGUUUCUUUUCGGAUAAUUGACUUUUAUUUAGCUAAGGAAUAUUUUAUUUGAAAUAUGUCCCAUAUAUACCACUGAAAAUCCAAGGUUUUUUAUGGCUAUUCAUUCUUAAUGGCAUUUCUACUAAAUGCUUUCUAAGAAUCAGAACGCAUGGUGUAUGUCCUACAAUACAAAUGGUGAUAACUUUUGUUUUUGGUGUUACAGUCAUGGAAGAAAAGAGUGAUGAUAUUUUAUUUUCUUGUCACUUCAUACGGUCCAUGGAGGAAAUGUGGAUAGAUCGAAGAUAAGUAAAUCAAGAUUCACAGACUGUGAAAACGUAUUAAAAGAUAAGAAUUUUUUGACUUGGAUUUUUUUUAAUAAAAGUUCUUUGCUUGGAUUUUUUUUUUAGUAAAAAUUCUUUGCUUGGAUUUAAGAGAUGAGAUUCAAAGAACUUUUAAGAGAUGCAGCAAACAACCUCAAAAUCCAAGCUCUUUGCUUGUAAGCUUCCUAGGCACCUGUAAACGGAAAAUACGGCUUCUAUGGAGUCCCAAUCUCCGGAAAUGGUCAGGGCAUAUAGACCAGAUGACUCGAAUUGUACAUAUAUUUUUUUCUUUUUUGGUGAAAUAACUCAAAUUCCAUUCAUCAACGCAUUUACAGAAAAAAGCAAAUCAACACUACAGAAAAAUGCAAAUCGGGGCUCUUAUGUACAACCAGCAAGGUUGAAGACUUGAAGUUGAACAAAUUGAUGACUUUGCACAGGAGGAUAUUUGGAAAUUCAUCAACUUGUCCUUGGAACAGCAUAAAGAUGGAGGCCCCCCUUCAUAUGAAGUGUGAACAUUGUCCUGUAAGUCGCAAUUUUCGUAUCAUCAACUAAUUUAAAGCGGAAGAAGCGAAGAAGGGCAAUUGAGACUAUCUUCAUCUGCCGGUAAGCAAAAUCCUUGCCUAAGCAAGUUCGAGGACCCGCCUGAAACAUAAUGCAGCAGCUGGAAAAGAUUAAGAUCGUUUGACAACUAUAUAGGCACAUGCAUGUUAUACACAUGGUAGAAAUGGAAAAAAGAAUACUAACAUGAAAUGUUAUGAAUUUGAAAGGGGAUUCGGGCUGGAGAACUCUAUUGUUAAGCCAUCUUUCUGGUCGAAAAGUGUCGGCAUCUUCUCCCCCAAUGUCAGGCAUUCUACCCAUGGCGUAGGCCAUGUAAUAUACCCCGUCUCCUUUCUUGAGUUUGUAGCCAUCAGGGAGAAUGUCAUCCUGCUCUGCAUUCCUUCCAUCCUUGAAGCACAAAGUGAGAACCAUAUCAUAUUCCAGCUAUCGAAAUGCUAAGACUGCUAGAAAAUCUAUGAGUGUCUCAGGCAACUUACAAUGGCGACAGCAGGGUACAGCCUUAAGGUCUCUGUUAUGGCUGCAUGAAGAUAGUGCAUUUGCUCUAGGGUUGAAUCAGUUAUGGUUGUCACGAAAUCAUCAACAUUAUUAGCACCAUUUCCUUUACUACUAGUGACGUCCACCACUUCUUGUGCAACUUUUUCUUGUAUCAAAGGGUUCUUGCAGAGCAUGUAGAAGAACCAGGACAGAGUAUUCGCAGAAGAAUCUUUGCCAGCGAGUAUGAAGUUCAGGAUUAUAUCCCUUAAAUAUUUGUCAUUCAUUGUGUCUGGAUUCUUCUCGCUUUCCACUAAAAAUCUUGAAAGUAUGUCUUCUUUCACAUUCUUGAAGCCAUAAAAAGAAAUAAGAAAAAACAAACCAAUUAUUAGUAAAGUAUAAAUUUCCACGCCAAAAACCAGAUUACCUUAAGCAGUGAGAUUGAAUUCAACAGUGUUCUUGUGACUUUCAAGUCCCACCAUAUUUGUUAGACCAAGAUUGACUAUAAGAAAUUCUUGCAGCAAAAUAUAUAUGGCUCACCAAAUCUCGUUCCAUGCCCAGCAGUUUCCUCUUGGAGCUAAUGACAUCGUGAACAAAAGUAUCAAUGACUUUGAUAUUCUUUCUGAGGGCAGCUUCAGAGCCAAUGUUAAGAGACCUUUUCAGCUUCCAGAAAGGGUCAACAAAGCGCCUCUCAUUUGAAACAUCAAAAGCCUUCAUAAAAGUAGUCCCUUCCUUACUUGACCCAUCCAUGCAGUUUAUAUCUAUGCCAAACCCAACUUUGAAUAUGGAAUCUAGAGUGCAUGUCAUUAAUAGAUUCUACAAAUUAAAGUAAACACAGCAUGAAAAACUGAAAAAGGGAAAAUUAGACAAGCAUAAUUGUGAGCGUCUUUAAAGUUUUGGGUUAAUUUGAGGGUCAGAUUUCUCACUUGCAUGUCAAAAGCUUGACCCGACACUUCCAGCUUCGAAAUAACUCCAACCAGCUUGGCAGCGUUCCUUCUGAAAACAGAGCAGCUAAAAUCUUUAAGAACUCUCGUCGAGAACUCGAAGCUUGCCAGCUUCCGCUGCUUUCGCCACUUGUCUCCGUCCACCGCAAAGAUCCCUUGUCCAAAAAGAUCUAUCAGAAUUUCUUGGUUUUGUUUACCCUUACAAUAUCUGUCGAACUUUGUUUUCAAUAUGUACUCUAUGUUGGAAAAUAAUGUAUUUCAUAAGGUUCAAACAUCCCACAUUGUCAAAAUACAUAAAAGGUGAAUGUCUUAUAUUGGGAAACCAACUUUAGACUUGUUGCAAGCAAAGAAAACAAAGUGGGCUCACGCGCAUACAAAAUUGGGCCAAAUAGUUAAAAAUUUUAAAUUUUCCUCCCUGUGCGCGAGUAUACAUGUGAGCUGAGCCUAAGUGACCUUUUGUACCUUGACCUUAUUUUUUUUGAACUUUUUCAGCCUUUGAUUAAAUCAAAGUCUAACUCUACCAUGCUUACCUGAUUCUCCUGGUUUUCCUCAACUCCCUCAACUCUCUGAUCUGGUGCAAUGUUCACCUUAUUUGGUGCAACGUUCACUUCACUCCAUGCCUAUAAAUACAACCUUACACCCUCACUCACAACAUACACCAAAGCUUUUCUUCUCUAAAGCUUUCUCCCUCUGCCUCUUCUCUUCUCUUAAGCUUCUCUGCUGGGUUUUCUGCUUCUUCUUUUUGCUAUUCCUGUCAUCCCUUAAUAGUUUGUGCAAACUAUAAGGAAGGGUCUGUUGAAUCUUGGAGGAUAACCGCUACAGUCUUUUUGCACCGAGUUUUAUACUCCGAAUGGGCGAAAAUUAUCCUUAAAGACAGUGAUACCACGCCUCAGACCAAUUACUGCUUUUACUAGUUUUAUAUUCCUUUGUUUCCAAUAUUCAUACAACAUUCUUAAGGAUAAUGGAUUCCCAUGUUGAUAAUGUUGCUGCCACUGUUCCUAAUGCUGCCUCUGUCCCUACUGCCACUAUUCCUAAUGCUGCCUCUGUCCCUGUUGCCACCGCUGUCAACAGUUCCCCCAUAGCUCCCACUCCGAUGACCAUUCCUCCUAUGGCCUCGGCUUCAUAUGCCAAACCAUUUCCAGAUAUUUCCAAAAUAGAAGUCUUUGAUGGCAGAAACUUCAAAAGGUGGCAAGAAAGGAUUUUUUCAAUCCUUGAUGUUCAUGGGGUUGCUUUUGCACUAAUUGAUUCCAAACCAGAUGAUGUCAAGAUGCUGGAACCAUGGAUGCAUGCAAAUAAGGUAUGCAGGCAUACAAUCAUUAGCACACUUUCUAAUGAAUUGUUUGAUGUAUACAACCCUUACAAAGAAGCAAAGCAAAUAUGAGAGUCAAUGAUAGCCAAAUAUACUGCUGAAGAUGUUGGGAAACAGAAGUUCGUGAUUGGCAACUUUUAUCGUUGGAAGAUGACAAAUGACAAGGACAUCAAGAGUCAGAUCAAUGAAUACCACAAGCUAGUGGAUGAUUUGAAGGCUGAAAAAAUCAACUUGCAAGAAGAGUUCGUUGUUAGAUUGCUGAUUGAGAAGCUACCACAAUCUUGGAAUGGAUACAAGCAACAACUAAAGCACAAGGAAAAGUAGUUGUCACUUGCAAAUUUAAUUGUGCACAUCAUCAUUGAAGACACAACUCGCAGGGAGAUUAAGGCUUCCAAAGCUAAGGAAAUUGCAACUAAAGCCAAUCUGGUACAAGGCAAAACCCAGCGCCAACCAAGGUACCCUUAUAAACCUUAUCAUAAACCCAAAGCUCCUCAUCCCACUUUCAAAAAGAAGGGUAGUUGUUUUGUCUGUGGAAAGCCAGGGCAUCAUGCAGCACAAUGCAGGAAAAGAGCAAAGAGAAAUGACAAACCUGCUAAUCCAAGAGUCAACUUGGUCAAAGCAGAUGAAUCUAAUGAUGUAAUUGCUGCGGUCAUUUUACAAGCAAAUAUGGUGGCCAGUGUGAAGGAAUUGGUGGUAGACUCAGGUGCUACCAAGCAUAUUUGUGCAAACAGAAAUGCCUUUACCUCCUAUACUCUUGUAGGGGAAGGAAAAGAGACAAUUUACCUCGAUGAUUCUCGAACUGCUCAAGUUCUUGGUAAAGGGAAAGUCCUUCUCAAGCUCACAUCUGGCAAGACCCUAGCUCUAAAUGAUGUUCUUCAUGUUCCCAAUAUAAGGGCAAACUUGGUAUCUGUGGCCUUAUUAGGCAAGGUUGGGGUGAAAAUGUCAUUCGAAUCUGACAAGAUUAUGAUGACAAAAAAUAAUGUGUUUAUGGGUAAGGGUUAUUGCAAUCAGGGACUCUUUGUACUUAACAUUUCCAAUGUUUUGAAUGAAAAUGGCAAUUCUUCUGCUUACAUGAUUGAAUCUGUUGAUUUAUGGCAUGGUAGACUAGAACAUGUUAGCAUUCCCUAUAUUAAGAAAAUGCAAUCACUAGGAUUAAUUUCUAAUAUUAAAAAUGGAAGCUUUAAUAAAUGCGAAAUAUGUGCUGAAACAAAAUCAACUAAAAAAACUUGUAUUUCAGUAAAUAGGGAAUCUGAAUUAUUAAGUUUAAUUCAUACAGACUUAGGAGAUCUAAAACAAACUGUGACUAGAUGAGGUACGCAAUACUAUGUUACAUUUAUUGAUGAUUAUUCUAGAUUUACUAAAGUUUAUUUACUUAGGCAUAAAGAUGAAGCUUUUGACAUGUUUAUUAAAUAUAAAGCUGAGGUAGAAAAUCAACUGAAUAAAAAGAUAAAAAGAAUUAGAUCAGAUAGAGGGGGUGAAUAUAUACCGAUUAAUGAUAUUUGUGAAAAAGAAUGAAUAAUUUAUGAAAUUACUCUUCCAUAUUCUCCUGAAUCAAAUGGUGUAGCUGAAAGAAAAAAUAGAACAUUAAAAGAAAUGAUGAACUCUAUGCUUGUUAGUUCCAAUGCACAUGAAAAUUUGUGGGGUGAAGCUUUAUUAUCCGCAUGUCAUAUUCAGAAUAGAAUACCUUAUAAGAAAACUAGUAAGACACCUUAUGAAUUAUGGAAAGGUUAUUCUCCUAAUUUAAAAUAUUUAAAAAUAUGGGGGUGUCUAGCUAAGGUAAUGCUUCCUGAAUUUAAGAAGAGAAAAAUUGGUUCUAAGACAUCUGAUUGCAUGUUUAUUGGUUAUGCUGAACAUAGUGCUGCAUAUAGGUUUCUUGUAUUAAAAAGUGAUGUUCUUGAUUGUAAUACAAUUGUUGAAACAAAGAAUGCCGAAUUUUUUGAACAUAUUUUUCCAUUAAGAAUUGAUACAAUUUCUCAUGCACCUUUUAGUAAAAAUGAUUUUGAAAUACAAAAUGAUGAUUUGAGAAGGAAUAAAAGACCAAUUUCUUUUGGUAAUGAUUUUUAUACUUAUCUUGUAGAUAAUGAUCCUUUGACUUAUGUUGAUGCAAUUUCUUCUAAAGAAAGUUUAUUUUGGAAAGAAGCCAUACAAAAUGAGAUUGAUUCGAUUUUACAAAAUCAAACUUGAGAAUUAGUUGAUUUACCACCUGGAGCCAAACCAAUUGGUUGCAAAUGGAUUUUUAAAAGAAAAUUUAGUCUUGAUGAUUUUAUUGAUAAAUAUAAAGCUAGAUUAGUUGCAAAGGGUUUUACUCAAAAACCAAAUAUUGACUAUUUUGAUACUUUUGCUCCAGUAACAAGAAUUGCAUCAAUUCGUGUUUUAUUUGCUUUAGCUUCAAUUUACAAACUUGUUGUUCAUCAAAUGGAUGUAAAAACUGCUUUUUUAAAUGGUGAUUUAGAAGAAGAAAUUUAUAUGACACAACCUGAGCGAUGUAUUGUUCCUGGUCAAGAAAACAAAGUUUGUAAAUUGAUUAAAUCAUUAUAUGGUUUGAAACAAGCACCCAAACAAUGGCAUGAGAAAUUUGAUCAAGUUCUUGUUAGUAAUGGAUUUUCUACUGUUGGAGUUGAUAAAUGUGUGUACACAAAAACUGUUGAUAGUGGAUGUGUGAUUAUUAGCUUAUAUGUUGAUGAUAUGCUUAUUUUUGGUACACGCAUUGAUGUGGUCAAUAAAAUAAAAUGCUUUUUAGCUUCUAAAUUUGACAUGAAAGAUCUGGGAGAAGCCAAAGUUAUUUUGGGUAUUAAAAUCAUAAGAUGUGAUAGUGGCUUAAUGCUAACAUAAGAGCAUUAUGUUGAGAGACUACUUAAAAGGUUUGAACAUUUUGAUGUCACACCUGUGAGUACUCCUUAUGAUAGUAAUAUUCAAUUAAAGAAAAAUAGAGGUGAUAGUGUAGCUCAGUUUGAGUAUGCACAGAUUAUUGGAAGUCUGAUGCAUUUAAUGAAUUAUACUCGACCAGAUAUAGCUUAUGUUGUAUGUAGACUGAGCAGAUAUACACAAAAUCCUAAUAGAGAUCAUUGGACUACCUUGAGUAGGGUGAUGAAAUAUUUGAAAGGUACCAUAAACUAUGAUAUUUUAUAUAAUGAAUUUCCCGCUGUAUUAGAAUGAUACAGUGAUGCUAAUUGGAUCUCAUAUUCAGAUGAGACGAAAUCUACGAGUGGUUAUGUAUUCACCCUUGGUGGCGGUGCUAUAACUUGGAAAUUAGCCAAACAAACAAUAAUUGCUAAAUCUACAAUUGAAUCAGAAUUUGUAGCUUUAAAGUUGGCUGGUAAUGAGGCUGAGUGGUUGAGAAACCUCUUAACAGAUAUUCCGUUAAGAAUGAAACCAACACCUUCUGUGUCCAUGCAUUGUGAUUGCCAAGCGGCAAUAACCAUUUCAAAUAAUAAAACUUUCAAUGGUAAAAAUAGACACAUUCGUUUGAGACAUGAUGUAGUAAAGCAGCUGCUUAGAGAUGGAAUUAUAUCCAUUAAUUAUAUGAAGUCAGAGCUGAAUUUGGUCGAUCCUCUGACUAAGCCCCUAGGAAGAAAAUUAAUUAAUGCUACAUCGAGAGGAAUGAGACUUAAGCCAAAUGAGGAAAUCAACAAAUAGUAGUAACCCAACCUAUGUGAUUGGAAAUCCCAUGAAUUAGGUUCAUAUGGGUAAUAACAAGUUAUUUGUUGAUAAAUUAAUGCACUAUUGAAAGUAUUGUCCCUCCUAUGGUGUGUAAAUAGUGCAAAACUGCAAUGUAAGAAAGGUUGAGUUAAACUCUUAAUGCAUUCCAUAUUCCUUAUGGGUAGUGUAUUAUACUGCAGUAUACACUUGAUGGAAUCAACCUAUAUAAGUGUGGAGUAGGGCAGCUCCUAUGAGAACUAUGGCAAAUUCUCUAGAGCACUUAUGAAUAACCAGGCACGCGCAUGGCCUAUUCGAGCAAAACUGCGUUGAACAGCAGAAAUUGUGAGGGUGUAAUGUGAUUGAUGAAAACUAUAUUUCACAUAAAGAAUUUUGGUUCAUAUAAGUUACAAACUUCACCAAAAUCCUGUGACUUAUAUUUCAUUCUUUCUAAGGGUGGUUCAUAGCUUUAAAAGCACCAGUCACGAUGCAUCACACUCAAAUGAAAUUUGAUCCAACAAAACUUCUUAUAAAAUCUUAUGAAAUAUGUGGGGGAUUGUUGGAAAAUAAUGUAUUUCAUAAGGUUCAAACAUCCCACAUUGCCAAAAUACAUAAAAGGUGAAUGCCUUAUAUUGGGAAAUCAACUAUGGGCUUGUUGCAAGCAAGGAAAACAAAGUGGGCUCGUGCGCAUACAAGAUUGGGCCAAACAGUUAAAAACUUCAGAUUCCCCCCCCCCCUGUGCAAGAGUAUACACGUGGGCUGUGCCCAAGUGACUUUUUGUACCUUAACCUUAUUUUUUUUGAACUUUUUCAGCCUUUGAUUAAAUCAAAGUCCAACUCUACCAUGCUUACCUGAUUCUCCUGGUUUUCCUCAACGUUUAUCCUGGUUUUGCUCUAACGUCUAUCUGACUUGGUAUAAAUGCUGACCAAGUUUUCCUCAACUCCCUCAACUCCUUGAUCUGGUGCAACGUUCACCUUAUUUGGUGCAACAUUCACUUCACUCCAUGCCUAUAAAUACAACCUCACACCCUCACUCACAACAUACACCAAAGCUUUUCUUCUCUAAAGUUAUCUCCCUCUGCCUCUUCUCUUCUCUUAAGCUUCUCUGCUAGGUUUUCUGUUUCUUCUUUUUGCUGUUCCUGUCAUCCCUUAAUAGUUUGUGCAAACUAUAAGGAAGGGUCUGUUGAAUUCUGAAGGAUAACCGCUACAGUCCUUUUGCACUGAGUUUUAUACUCCGAAAGGGCAAAAAUUAUCCUUAAGAACAGUGAUACCACGUCUCAGACCAAUUACUGCUUUUACUAGUUUUAUGUUCCUUUGUUUCUAAUAUUCAUACAACACUCUACAUUUCGCGUAUCGACGGUAUAUACUACGCUUAGCCCUAAAGCGAGUUGCUUGUAAGUGGGAUGUUUUUUGGCCGCUUGGGUUUGAUAGUCGUAGAGAUAGUUGAAAUAAAACAACUGGUUGAAAACGCUGCCCUUCACCAGUGGGUAGUCAGGAUUUUCGAUGGAUUUUUCGGUGAAGAUUUUGAUUGUGAGAAAAGAGAAGAUCAGAAUGAGUGGUGGUAAUGAUAUCAACAAGAAGAUGGCAGAGAAAUUAUCCAUUUUUCCUUUUUCUAAUGAAUACUCUGCAAGGUUAUAGGCCAUAUAUGCAGAUUCUUGUAUUGGGUUGCAUUCAUUUUUCAACCUACCAACAAAAUCAAACCUUUUUCAUCACCAAUAUCUUUCUCAACAACAAAAUCAUUUAUUUAAUAAUUAUAAUGUUUACACGUGUAUGAUUGCCAUUUCAUCAAUUUGAUUUUUCUUGUAAAUUAAGUUGCUGCCACCAUAUCUCAUGCUUCAAAAAAUUUAGAGGAUUGUGCGGAUAAUCAUAAAUUUAUAAUCAUAAUAAUAAUCUAUUUAACUUCUAAAGUGAAUUAACAUAUAUAACUUUAAUCAAGUAAGCAUGAAAAAAGUGUAUCAUUUAAGUUUGGGUCUUGUUUACGAAUACUCUAAGAGCUUUUUUUUAUUGUUAAUUAAAAUAUUAUAAUAAUAUUUUUCUAUUAAAUGCCGUAGUUGAUUGGUAGUGUGAUGAUUUUCAUUAUAUCAAAAACUUUAAAUAAUAUCAUUAAAACAAUAGUUAGUAAAAGGCAUAAUAUUCAAAAAAAGCUUUUAAAUUAUUCAAAAAAUUCAAAUAAAUCUUACUUUUAUUAUAUUCAAUUAUGUUCUUAUAUUUUUAUUUUAGGUCAUAUAAGUCUUUUUAUUUUUUAUUUUUAUUUUGAAUCAAAUAAAUCUUUAUAAGUAAUGAUUAAUUUAGUUAAAAUGUCAUUUAUCAUUCUAUGCUACGUAAUGCUGAUAUGGUAUAUUAACAUAUCAUAAUUAAUGAUGAUGUGAUAUGUUGAUAUAUCAUAAUUGAUAAUAAUGUGACAUACUAAUUUAGCCUAAUACCAUGAUGAUAUUUUUCACCCUCCACAUUAAUACCAUAUUAGUGUUAUAUGGAUAUAAAAUGAUAAAAGAUAUUUUAACUAAUGAAAAUUAGUCAAUCAUUAAUAAUAAGGGCUUAUUUGACCUAAAAUAAAAAUAUAAAGACUUGAUUAAGCAUAAUAAAAGAAUAAAAAUUUAUUUAAAUUUUCUUAAAUAGUUUUAGAGCUUAUUUGAGCAUUAUGUCUUAGUAGAACCAUUUAUGUUUUAAAUUUUUUUUUUUGUUUUUCGCAAAGUAAUUUGUCAUAAACGGAAUAAUGACAUGGCUAUAGAUUAAGUUAGGCUAGAAACUUAUUUCAGCCUUAAAUGAUUAACAAUGAAUUAGGUGAGUCACCUCGCAAGAAACCCUUGUACAAUUCUUAGGAUACCCCUGUUACAUGAUCAAGCUCUCUAUUCUCUAUUUAUUAUUACAAUUGGCGACAACAUUCACCUGCCAACUAUCUAACUCCACAAAACCACCCUCAUCAUAUGUUAAGUUUAACUUAAGAAUAACAAGAUUUGGAAGAAGAUAUUUAAACGGUGAUGCUCAUUCAAUAAUGCCAAUCACUAAUCAAUUAAAAUGGGAAGCCGAAAAUAGAUAAUCCAAGGUACAAAAAAAAAUAAGUUUGUCCUUGAAAAUAUUCGCCAUAUGAAAGGGUUGUUUGAAUUUUGCGGAUGCCAAUUGCCCAGCAUAUUAGACAAAAAGUCAAGAGGCAUAAAUCAGUCCUAUUGGCUUCUUCCACAUUUCAUUUUCUUGAUCACUUUUGUCUUACUACUUUGCUUGAUUCUUUCUACACUCUCCAUUUUUAAUUACAUUUUAUAUAGUUGGGUAAUAGACUUUACGCGCCAUUAAUCAAUGAAGUAUAAUUAUUUCAAUAAUAAGGAGACUUUGAAAUCUUUGGAUUUAUUUUAAUUUUAUAUGAUUGAUUGAAUUAUUUGUAGAUAAAAGAGCUUAUAUAUGAAAAUGACAAAUCUAUGUCAUUAAGCCUAACAACAUCAGAAUUGCAAAUUGGAAGUAUUAAAAAUCAAUAACCCCCAAGAAUUGGCAUCGGUUGUGCGGUACGCAAUUAGAAAAGAAAAUAGAUGAUGUUAUCGCAAUUUUCUUUUUCAAUAUGGUUCACAGAGAGCUCAACUUGACAAAGCAUUGCGAUGAUUAGCUAGCGAGAUCGAGGUACCUCUCUGACCCUGACAACUCACUGCAAGCCAAAGGCAGUCUACAGGAGGAUCCUGAAUUACUGUAAGAAAAAUAAUGGCCCAAAACACAAGCAAAAGCGAAAGUUAUCCAUGGUUGGAGGUCCGCCUCCGCUAUGCCACCAUCAGUGUUGGCUAUGGAGUUACGUUUCGACUGUUGGCCAGAAAUAGUAGAAAUAACAAAUAACUUAUCAAAAAGUGGAGUAUGGGUUAAGCUUAGAAUCAGAAAUUUAUGCAGUUUAUUUAUUUACCGAUCUCCAAUACAAGGUGAACCAAAUUUCAUGUUCAUAAUCAUUAGAAAAGCAAAUCGGAACUCGACAUGAGACAAUCAAGUUGUUAUUCUGCACAAAACUAGAAAAGGAAAGCGGAAGUAAUGUUAUUGCAACCAGCAAGGGGUUGAGCAUUUUUCCAACCGACAAUCUACCAUGUUUCUGGAAAUUGGUUUAAGUUGUCCUAGGAACAGCAUAAAGUUGAAGGCCUCCCCGCAUCUGAAGAGUGAAUGUUACUCUGUAGGUUGCAAUUUUUGUAUCAUCAGCUAAUUUGAAGCGGAAGUAGCGAAUAAGGGCAAUUGAGAAUAUCUUCUCUGCCAGUACGCGAAUUCCUUGCCUAAACAAACUCGAGGGCCCGCCUGCAGGAAGUAAUGCAAAAGCCAAAAGAUAAAUUCUUAGUGUUUGACAAUUAUAUAUGCAUAUAUAUAUAUAUUAAAAGGGAAAAAGAGUUCAAACAUGGAAUGCCACGAAUUUGAAUGGCGAUUCGGGUUGGAAAACUCCGUCUUUAAACCAUCGUUCUGGUCGAAAAACCUCAGCGUCCUCUCCCCAAAUGGAAGGCAUUCUACCCAUGGAAUAGGCCAGAUAGGUAACCUCAUCUCCUUUCCUGACUUUGUGUCCAUCGGGAGAAUGUCAUCCGCCAGUGAACACCUUCCAUCCUUGAUGUACAAUAAAGAUACCACAUUUACCCACGUAAGUAUGUAAUUAUUUAUUUAUGAUUUUUCUUUUCAUGAAGAAAUGCCUAUAAUUAAGAUAUUGUAAUUAAUAUUGUCAAUCCAUAUAUUAGAAAAACAUAAAUCUUAAAUCUUAAACUUCAAACCUUACUAUUUUCAGCAAUUUUAGCAUGAAAUAUAGCAAAAAUCAAUCUAUGAAGAUUUUCAGCAAAUUUACCGGAGGGACUGUGGGGUACAGUCUUAAGGUCUCUGUUAAUGCUGCAUGAAGAUAAUGCAUUUUCUCAAGAGUUGCAUCGGUUAUGGUUGUGAUGAAGUCAUCAACGCUAGCAUCAUUUCCUUGGCUGCAAGCGAUGUCCAUCACCUCUUGUGCAACUUUUUCUUGUAUCAAGCGGUGCUUGCAGAGCAUGUAGACGAACUAGGACAAAGUGUUGGCACUAGCAUCUUUGCCAGCAAUCAAGAAAUUCAAAAUUAUGUCCCUUAGAUAUUGAUCAGUCAUUGUUUCAGGAUUCUUCACACUCUCGAUCAAAAACCUUGAAAGUAUGUCUUCUUUGACAUUCUUAAAUUCCCAAAAAAGAAAAAAUAAUCAACUUUUAGCAACAAAAAACAAGAACUCAUCUACUGUUACAAAGACUUGAAAAAUACAAGAGAACAUAACUACAUCGGAGUUACAGCCAAACACUAGUGGACAAUUACUAGAUUACUAAAAUUGUUUGGACAGAAAUUAGGUUGAUCUUAUUGUGAAUCCCUCCAUAGGAGAGUGAUAAUUAGAUAUCGACCAUAAGAUGAACUCUAAGGAAAUUUUAUAAUAACAAAAAUAAAAUAAGAUUCUGUUAGAUUAAUGUAUUGAGUCGCCCUAAAUUGAUAAUACAAGUUUCAUCUGGGCGCUGUAUGGUGUGGAAAAGGGUCGGUGCUGUCGGGAUGCUGGGCAAUUAGCCCUGUGUGGUAGGAGUUUCUGGAAAACAGACUAGUGAUUACUGUGUUUCCCAACUCCAUCCAAUAUGUAUCAUGUUCAUGCAUUAAUAAAGUAUUGAUUUAACAAAAAAUAUAUAUAUAUAACCACAAAUUUAAUUAGAGGAAAAUAUGACUCACACGAUCUGGGUAGCAGUUUCUUCUUGGUGCUUAUAACAUUGUGAAUAAAAUUAUCAAUGACUUUGAUAUUCUUCUUGAGGGAGGCUUCAGAGCCAAUAUUAAGAGCCCUUUUCAGCUUCCAAAAAGGAUCCAUAUAGCGCAUGUACACCAGCUCAUUGGCAUCAUCAAAAGCCUUCACAAAGGUAGUUCCUUCUUCACUUGACCCUUCCAUGCAAUUUAAAUCAAUUCCAAACCCAACUUUGAACAUCGAUUCCAUUGUGUAUUUCAUCAACAUGUCCUACACAACAAGAUUACUCCAUAACUUAAACACUCAAAAUUUGACCUUUUGCUCUCUGUUAAAAAAAAAAAUGAAAAAGAUCGAGUUACUCCCUUGGAAUUUCAUAGCCUGACCCAACCGCGUCAUCUCUGAAACAGCUCUAACCAGUUUGACAGCAUUUUUUCUGAAAACAGAGCUACUAAAAUCUCUAAGAACUCUCGUCGAGAACUCGAAGCUCGCAAGCUUACGCUGCUGCCGCCACUUGUCUCCAUCCACCGCAAAAAUCCCUUGUCCCCAAAGAUCUCUAACAAGUUCUUGGUGAUAUGCACCCUUUGCAUAUUUGUCAAAAUUUGUUUUCAAAAUGUGCUCUACGUUUCGCGUAUCGACGGUGAAGAUUAGACUAUACGCAAAAUCAAGUAACCUAAAAGUGGGCAGUUUUUUGGCAAUUUGGGUUUAGUAGUCGUAGAGAUAGUUAAGGUAUAAGAGCUGGUUGAAAACACUGCCCUUCACAGGGGCAUAGUUAGGAUCAUUGAUGGAUUUUCCAGUGAAGAUUCUGAUCAGGACAAAAGAAAGGAUCAGAAAAAGAAAGAGUAGUGGCAAUGAUAUCAACACGAAGAUGGUAGAUAAAAUCUCCAUUAUGAUUUUCUGAUGAAUACUCUGUAAGAAAGCUGUGAUCACAGCCACCUACUUAUUACUUGAAUCAAGGGAUUCCUUCAUUAUUAAAUAACACAGAAAAACCCAAUCCUCUACAUCACCAAUAUGUUGCCAAUGUUCAUGCAUACGUCAUUAAUUGUACCAAUCUGAUUUUUCUACGAUACAAUUAUUAGCCUCAUCGAACCAAAGUUGAUGUCACUUACCUCAAAGUUUUAAAUAAUACUGAUACUAUAUGAUUUUGGACAAAUAAUACCAACUGGAUAUAAUUUCUAACAAAGUACCAGCCACCAACUCCACUUAUAUCCAAUUGUUUUAAAACGAAUAAACAUUAUUUAGACGUCAAGAAAGGUUACGAAAAGAAACUUCCACUAUAAUGAAUUUUAGCUUUAAUUAUAUUUGUUUAGAUAAGGUAUCUUUUUCUAUAAUGAAAUCUUCAAUUAUAGAGUUGUUUAAUCUUUUAAUUGUAUUUUUUCACAGUUAAUAACAAUAUCAAAAGUACCAUCUCUGUUAGUAUAUACAACCUUUAUAGUUACAUUUUAUUUAUAACACUGUUAAAAAGUUUUGUAGUGCUGUCAAAUUUAUAAAAUUAAUAUAAAAAUUAUAAUCUUAAAUCGAAUUUAUUAUAGUGUUCUAGAAUCAGAAGAGUACAAAAGAUGGAAAUAUAUAUAUAUAUAUAACACGUAAAAACAUUGUCCUUAUUACAAGUUACAACAACAACAAUAUUGAAGGAAGGAGACAAAUAAAUGCAGGCAGAUAAACUCACGGGUUUUGGGCACGGAUCAGGUUGCUUCAUUUUAGCUUGGUUCUAGAUUCAGUGGUUGUAUAUGAUGUCUUAUUCAAUUCUAGUUUCAGAUUUAUGUUGGAAUAAGUUCAAAAGCCAAUCACAUAGAUUGUAGUGGGUAUUCUUUGUUAAUUAAUUUAUUAUAACAUUUUAUUAUGGAAUAAGAGAUAUUUCUUUAUCCAUAAAUUGCUUCAUAAUUAGCUACUUUAAUUUAUAAAGGCAAAGCCCUUGGAACAAAUGUACAAAGAAUUAUAAGUGAGUUAUAAUUAUAAGAUCCUUAUGCAUCAAAGUACUAUUCUGAAAUAGUUUAUAACCAUUGUAUUAUCAAAAUAGGACAUUGAUAAUACUCAAAGGCCAACACAUGUUAUGCUUCUUACUUGUAAAAUGAGCAACUAAUCUCAUAAGUUGAAAUAUAGAAAUACUUAGAUCUAACAUCUAGGUGCUUGUAUAGAAUGUAGGUUUAUUGAACAUGACUCACCAUGAGAAAUCUAUUUGAUAACACACUAAUGUUUAUGGAACACUUCUUAUGAAUCAGUCGUAUAAGUACUCCCAAGAUUUGAGAUGCCAAGUUAUUUUAUGUGUGGAGUACUAUACUUUGACUUCAUCUCUCUAGAUCCUAAAUAAGGAUAUUUAAAAAGGAUGAAUAUUGUGUAUAGUAUGAAGCACAUAAAAACAAAUGAGUGACCAAGAGUGGAAUAAUCACUCCAAGUGAUUUAAAAAAUAUAUUCUAUUUGUUUUUUUAUACAUACUAGUCAUAUGAAAUCUUUAGCCAAUGCAACUUAGAAAUUAGGAAAGGAGUUUCCUAAGUCUUAGACAAAACUAGUGGUGAAGCUUAAAAGAACCAAAAGAAAAGGAUAUGAGAGUAGACACUGUACCAUACUUUCGUUUCUUUUAAGAUAUAUAUGAUAAGAGAAUUAAUUAUACUAAUAAAUUGGACAUUAAAAGGUUGUCAAAGAACCUUUUACUCUCCUUACAAUUGGGUGAUCAUGAUAGGUUCCUAGAUCCCAUUUAUGGUCUAUAAUCAUAAAGUAGUUGAUAUGAUCAAUGAUAAAUUCAAAGUAGUUUGAAUUUAUCUAAUCAUAAAUUUAAUUGUAGAUUACAUUCUAAGAUCAUUGUCAACAUGUUAUGAACCUAAUGGAUCACACACAAUAAGUUGCAAUAAGAAUUAAAUUGAAAUUGUGAUGAUUUAAGUUGGACUUAAAUUAUACACUAAGUUUUAAUUUUCAAAGAUUUAAUUAAAAUUAGUUUAAUUAAGUAUAGGGUCAAUAUUAUAAGUAGUUAUAAUAUUGAGGCCUUCAAUAAAAACCAAAGCUAUCUUUUAAACUAGGUAUAAAAGCUCACUUUUCAUCCAUUCUUCACAAGUUGUUGAACAUACACAAAACCUAACUACUCUAGCCACCGACCCUUGUGAAAAUUCUUAGUGAAGAGAUUUUCUUGUGGCAUAAGGCAAAAAGUGAGUGAGGAGUGAAAAGGACAAUCGGUUGUCCACAUUGCUAGCACAUUGAUGUGGUUGAAAAAGAUUUUAUUGUAAUCGUGUGUGCAACCAUUGAAGGUCAAACAAUUGAGUGGCCCGGGUUCUCUUUUUUUUUUUGUGGUGUAUCGUGAGUUCAAAAAGGAGAAAAAAGAUGUCAUCGUGAUUACCAUAUCACUUAACUAGGUAAUAUUAUUUUCAAAAUAUUACUUUUGUUUGAUUGUGUUAAAACACCAAAAAAAUUCAAGGGAUACGACAUAAAAAAAUUCUGUUUUAUUUUAUUUUAUUUCAAUCUAUUUAUUUCAUUGCGUAUGUGCAAUUCGAUCACACUCUCAUGCCGUUUUUCUUACAAUAUAUAUGACCGACGUGCUAAACUUAAAGGAGGCAUCUCUUUGUACUAACACUUUGAAGUAUUUUGGCGUAAUCCAAUAUCUUACCUGCAUGCACAUGUUUCUUAGGUUAGUAACUGAAUUCAUUAUUGGCAAGAAUUGGCCUUUGACUGAAGAGAAAAUAAAGUGGAAAAAUGAAGGAAAAUUAAGUAGGUGGUAAGGAAAGCUGAAGGGAAUCGAAAUACAAUUGCUCAAAGAGAUCCUGGAGAGAAGAACAGAAUCGAAAAAGAAAUGAAAGUUUAAUGGGUUGCACUUUCUUUUUCCUUUUCAUUUCCAUUUUUCUGAAAGUUCAACGGAAGUAGACAUAUGCCUCACGGGCUUAACAGCAUUAUUUUCGGCUGAGAAAAAAGAACUAUGUAUAUAGGAACGUAGGCUAGAAUCUAGCUCGCCUGACCCUGCCCAUGAACUUCAAUGUUAGGCUUUGUGUACAUCAAUGAUCCAACCCUAAACUGAAAAGGCCCAACACACAAGCAAAAACAAAAGUUAUUUAUGGUCGGAGGUCUAUCUCCGCCAUGCCACCAUCAGUGUUGGGGCAUGGAGUUACGGCUCAACUGUUGGCCAGAAAUAGUAGAAAUAAAUAAAUAAUUUGUCCUAAAUGGGAAAAUUAAAGAAAGAUUAGAAUAGGGAAUUAGCCAACUAUCAAAAGUGGAGUAUGGGUUAAGGUUAGAAUCAGAAAUUAAUGCAUUGGAUUUGUUUUACCGAUCUUCAAUACAAGGUGACCCAAAGUUUCAUCUUCAACAUCAUUAGAAAAGCAAAUCCGAAGUCGACUUGAAACAAUCCAGUUGUUGUGCUGCACAAAACAAGAAAAGGAAAGUGGAAGUAAUGUUAUUGCAACCAGCAAGGGGUUGAACAUUUUUCCAACCGACAAGUUAUCAUGUUUCUGGGAAUUGGUUUAAGUUGUCCUAGGAACAGCACAAAGUUGAAGGCCUCCUCGUAUCUGAAGAGUGAAUGUUACUCUGUAUGUUGCAAUUUUUGUAUCAUCAGCUAAUUUGAAGCGGAAGUAGCGAAUAAGGGCAAUUGAGAAUAUCUUCAUCUGCCGGUACGCGAAUUCCUUGCCUAAACAAAUUCGAGG